CAGGGUUGGGUCGACGUCGCAUCUCGGCAGUGAUGAGCAUCCCAGACAACUUGGCCAAGCACCAAGACAACCUGCAGGUGGGUCCCAUCAUAGCCAACAUGAUGGCGAAGGUCAACGGCAGGUCCUAGUGAGCGUCAUGAGCUCGCCGUGCCGCAAACGCGGUGUUGGUGACGCCCAUCCUCGUGGACGACCUCUUCGUUAUUGAAGCAAGGGAGCAUAGGAUGUUGAUGUCUGAUUCAUGACUAUUGGGUGGCCUUCUUCGACUUUCUAGGUUUUUGCUGUUGCAUGGUUGUGGCCCUCGUCCACCCGACCUGCUGCUGCUGGAUCGGUGAGCAAGCUGAUGCUGCUGCCAUGCACCACUCCAGGAACCUCUACAAGGUUGGCGAGGGCAGCUUCAGCC
Lolium rigidum is the source of this 400-nucleotide long non-coding RNA. RefSeq lists it as uncharacterized. Lineage: Eukaryota; Viridiplantae; Streptophyta; Magnoliopsida; Poales; Poaceae. The transcript is spliced from 3 exons. The record is from RefSeq and is a predicted model, not a curated record.